CAGUCGCCACGGUAAAAACGUAGGUGGCAAGCGUUGUCCGGAAUUAUUGGGCGUAAAGGGCUCGCAGGCGGUUUCUUAAGUCUGAUGUGAAAGCCCCCGGCUCAACCGGGGAGGGUCAUUGGAAACUGGGAAACUUGAGUGCAGAAGAGGAGAGUGGAAUUCCACGUGUAGCGGUGAAAUGCGUAGAGAUGUGAGGAACACCAGUGGCGAAGGCGACUCUCUAGUCUGUAACUGACGCUGAGGAGCGAAAGCGUGGGGAGCGAACAGGAUUAGAUACCCGCGUAGUCCCUGUCUCUUAUAC
RNAcentral lists this ribosomal RNA (301 nucleotides) under uncultured bacterium. RNAcentral's name for it is "partial 16S ribosomal RNA". It matches the Rfam family "Bacterial small subunit ribosomal RNA", at positions 509 to 807 of the family's 1533-position model. The record is from RNAcentral.